GCUUUUGAAAGAUAAUAGUCAUCUAUU
This 27-nucleotide transfer RNA is filed under the name Raja straeleni (biscuit skate). Its description in RNAcentral is "partial tRNA-Leu". Lineage: Eukaryota; Metazoa; Chordata; Chondrichthyes; Rajiformes; Rajidae. The record is from RNAcentral. RNAcentral also lists the same sequence under 2 other names.